This 533-nucleotide ribosomal RNA is filed under the name uncultured bacterium. Its description in RNAcentral is "bacterial SSU rRNA". It matches the Rfam family "Bacterial small subunit ribosomal RNA", at positions 95 to 630 of the family's 1533-position model. The record is from RNAcentral.
ACGGCGCACGGGUGCGUAACACGUGGGUAAUCUGCCCUCUGAUGGGGAAUAACUCGCCGAAAGGCGAGCUAAUUCCGCAUAACAUUCCUUGGACUCCGGUCCGAGGAUUCAAAGGCGUAAGUCGUCGGAGGUGGAGCCCGCGCACGAUUAGCUAGUUGGUGAGGUAAUGGCUCACCAAGGCUAUGAUCGUUAGCUGGUCUGAGAGGAUGGCCAGCCACACUGGAACUGAGACACGGUCCAGACUCCUACGGGAGGCAGCAGUGGGGAAUCUUGCACAAUGGGCGAAAGCCUGAUGCAGCGACGCCGCGUGGGGGAUGAAGCUUUUCGGAGUGUAAACCCCUUUCGACCGGGACGAAUACCUCGUAAGAGGGGUGACGGUACCGGUAUAAGAAGCCCCGGCUAACUACGUGCCAGCAGCCGCGGUAAGACGUGGGGGGCCAGCGUUGCUCGGAAUUACUGGGUGUAAAGGGUUCGUAGGCGGUGUGACAAGUCGGGAGUGAAAUUCCUGGGCUCAACCCAGGGGCUGCUUCCGA